This 254-nucleotide ribosomal RNA is filed under the name uncultured bacterium. RNAcentral's name for it is "partial 16S ribosomal RNA". It matches the Rfam family "Bacterial small subunit ribosomal RNA", at positions 524 to 776 of the family's 1533-position model. The record is from RNAcentral.
UACGUAGGGUGCGAGCGUUGUCCGGAAUUAUUGGGCGUAAAGAGCCCGUAGGCGGUGUGUCGCGUCGGCCGUGAAAACCUGCAGCUUAACUGUGGGCUUGCGGUCGAUACGGGCAUCACUGGAGUUCGGCAGGGGAGACUGGAAUUCCUGGUGUAGCGGUGAAAUGCGCAGAUAUCAGGAGGAACACCGGUGGCGAAGGCGGGUCUCUGGGCCGAUACUGACGCUGAGGAGCGAAAGCAUGGGUAGCGAACAGG